GCAGACACAUUCCAGCUAAUCAGCAGCAGACCCUCCCUCCCAGACUCUCCCACCUACUGGACAGCAUCCAUUGUGAAGCUGCAUUCUUAGUGAGCUGUCCAGGAGGUGGGAGGGUCUGGGAGGGAGGGUCUGCUGCUGAUUGGCUGGAAUGUGUCUG
RNAcentral lists this microRNA precursor (157 nucleotides) under Pelobates cultripes (western spadefoot toad). Lineage: Eukaryota; Metazoa; Chordata; Amphibia; Anura; Pelobatidae. The record is from RNAcentral.